CCUACGGGAGGCAGCAGGGGGGAAUAUUGCACAAUGGGGGAAACCCUGAUGCAGCGACGCCGCGUGAAGGAAGAAGUAUUUCGGGAUGUAAACUUCUAUCAGCAGGGAAGAAAAUGACGGUACCUGACUAAGAAGCCCCGGCUAACUACGUGACAGCAGCCGCGGUAAUACGUAGGGGGCCAGCGUUAUCCGGAUUUACUGGGUGUAAAGGGAGCGUAGGCGGCGAUGCAAGUCAGAAGUGAAAGGCCGGGGCUCAACUCCGGGACUGCUUUUGAAACUGUGUUGCUAGAGUGCAGGAGAGGUAAGUGGAAUUCCUAGUGUAGCGGUGAAAUGCGUAGAUAUUAGGAGGAACACCAGUUGCGAAGGCGGCUUACUGGACUGUAAAUGACGCUGAGGCUCGAAAGCGUGGGGAGCAAACAGGAUUAGAUACCCGAGUAGUC
RNAcentral lists this ribosomal RNA (440 nucleotides) under uncultured bacterium. RNAcentral's name for it is "partial 16S ribosomal RNA". It matches the Rfam family "Bacterial small subunit ribosomal RNA", at positions 338 to 795 of the family's 1533-position model. The record is from RNAcentral.